RNAcentral lists this ribosomal RNA (529 nucleotides) under uncultured bacterium. RNAcentral's name for it is "bacterial SSU rRNA". It matches the Rfam family "Bacterial small subunit ribosomal RNA", at positions 8 to 526 of the family's 1533-position model. The record is from RNAcentral.
AGAGUUUGAUCCUGGCUCAGAUUGAACGCUGGCGGCAUGCCUAACACAUGCAAGUCGAACGGCAGCAUGACCUAGCUUGCUAGGUUGAUGGCGAGUGGCGGACGGGUGAGGAAUGCAUCGGAAUCUGCCCAGUCGUGGGGGAUAACGUAGGGAAACUUACGCUAAUACCGCAUACGACCGUAAGGUGAAAGCGGGGGAUCGAAAGACCUCGCGCGAUUGGAUGAGCCGAUGCCGGAUUAGCUUGUUGGUGGGGUAACGGCCCACCAAGGCGACGAUCCGUAGCUGGUCUGAGAGGAUGAUCAGCCACACUGGGACUGAGACACGGCCCAGACUCCUACGGGAGGCAGCAGUGGGGAAUAUUGGACAAUGGGGGCAACCCUGAUCCAGCAAUGCCGCGUGUGUGAAGAAGGCCUUCGGGUUGUAAAGCACUUUUAUCGGGAAAGAAACACUGUCGGCUAAUACCCGGCGGGACUGACGGUACCCGAUGAAUAAGCACCGGCUAACUCCGUGCCAGCAGCCGCGGUAAUAC